This 253-nucleotide ribosomal RNA is filed under the name uncultured bacterium. Its description in RNAcentral is "partial 16S ribosomal RNA". It matches the Rfam family "Bacterial small subunit ribosomal RNA", at positions 524 to 776 of the family's 1533-position model. The record is from RNAcentral.
UACGUAGGUGGCAAGCGUUGUCCGGAUUCACUGGGCGUAAAGCGCGCGCAGGCGGCUUGUUAAGUCUGCUGUAACAUCUCCCGGCUCAACCGGGAGCGGCCAGCAGAUACUGGCAAGCUUGAGGCAAGCAGAGGAAGGUGGAAUUCCCGGUGUAGUGGUGAAAUGCGUAGAGAUCGGGAGGAACACCAGUGGCGAAGGCGGCCUUCUGGGCUUGUCCUGACGCUGAGGCGCGAAAGCGUGGGGAGCGAACCGG